RNAcentral lists this non-coding RNA (177 nucleotides) under Caryophanon tenue. Lineage: Bacteria; Bacillati; Bacillota; Bacilli; Caryophanales; Caryophanaceae. The record is from RNAcentral.
UACAUAUUGCACAAUGUUGAUGCUUACAAAAGCUUAAUAGGGAAUUCGGUGAAAUGCCGAAGCUGUGUCCGCAACUGUAAAUACUGCUGAAAUGAACAUAACCACUGCGAAAAGCGGGAAGGGUUCAAAGUAAAUCAAAGUAUGAGCCAGGAGACCUGUCAUCAUUGAUUGUAUCUA